This 485-nucleotide ribosomal RNA is filed under the name uncultured bacterium. RNAcentral describes it as "bacterial SSU rRNA". It matches the Rfam family "Bacterial small subunit ribosomal RNA", at positions 28 to 507 of the family's 1533-position model. The record is from RNAcentral.
GACGAACGCUGGCGGCGUGCUUAAUACAUGCAAGUCGAGCGAGGUUACUGUUUCGGAUCCCUUCGGGGUGAAGAAGCUUUAACCUAGCGGCGGACGGGUGAGUAACGCGUGGGUAACCUACCCCAAAGUCCGGGAUAACAGCGGGAAACCGCUGCUAAUACCGGAUGCCUUUACCUUGGGGCAUCUUGAGGUAAAGAAAGGUAACGCUUUGGGAUGGGCCCGCGUCCCAUUAGCUAGUUGGUGAGGUAACGGCUCACCAAGGCGACGAUGGGUAGCCGGCCUGAGAGGGUGGACGGCCACACUGGGACUGAGACACGGCCCAGACUCCUACGGGAGGCAGCAGUAGGGAAUAUUGCGCAAUGGACGGAAGUCUGACGCAGCAACGCCGCGUGAGCGAUGAAGGUCUUCGGAUCGUAAAGCUCUGUCCUUGGGGAAGAAGGCGAAAGCUUGACGGUACCCAAGAAGAAAGCCCGGCUAACUACGUG